RNAcentral lists this ribosomal RNA (372 nucleotides) under uncultured bacterium. Its description in RNAcentral is "bacterial SSU rRNA". It matches the Rfam family "Bacterial small subunit ribosomal RNA", at positions 521 to 895 of the family's 1533-position model. The record is from RNAcentral.
UAAUACGGAGGAUGCAAGCGUUAUCCGGAUUCAUUGGGUUUAAAGGGUGCGUAGGCGGGUUGAUAAGUCAGUGGUGAAAGCCUGCAGCUUAACUGCAGAAUUGCCAUUGAUACUGUCAAUCUUGAGUACAAAUGAUGUGGGCGGAAUAUGACAUGUAGCGGUGAAAUGCUUAGAUAUGUCAUAGAACACCGAUUGCGAAGGCAGCUCACAAAACUGUAACUGACGCUGAGGCACGAAAGCGUGGGGAUCAAACAGGAUUAGAUACCCUGGUAGUCCACGCCUUAAACGUUGAUAACUCGAUGUUAGCGAUAUACUGUUAGCGUCUAAGCGAAAGCGUUAAGUUAUCCACCUGGGGAGUACGCCCGCAAGGGU